ACCGCCCAUACUCUACACACUGUUGAAUUCCUUUUGUUUUCAUAAAAUAGCUACAUCUGUCUUAAAGGCAUUGCAGCAGCUCUCUAUCAACGCAUAUCUUUUACAGGAGGUCACAGAACAUCGCAUACAAAAAAUGUCAAGUUGGGGCAAUCUGGAUGAAGUGGGUGAAGAGUGGUGGGACAAUGCAUAUAAGUUGUUUCUUGAAAGUGAACCAAUAAGAACCACCCUGAGUAAUGUUGCUUAUUAUAUGAGUGACAACACAUGGAAUGAUUAUGGAUUCAGCUGUGACACACAUGUUCCUCCAGCUGGGAAAUUCUGUGGUGUUUCUAGAAGGGCAAUUCUGGUGGUGAUUUCCAGAACGAGGAGAAUGGAGUGGGGUGACUGGAAGAAGCUACGUCAGGCAUCUUCUGAACCUAAGGAUCUAGACAGCAGUGACAAGACACUUAUAAACUGGGUUACUGACCUGGUGUAUAAUGAGGACGGCAGCCCUAAACCAUUCAACAGAAAGACUUAACGAUAUUAAUGAUAAUCAGAAUGAUGUCAGAAUGUUAGCCAAAGUUCUGUUCAAAGCUGUUUUUAUUAUAUGGCUUUUCCUAAUAUUAUUAUUAAUAGUUCCAUCAGUUAAUCAUUCAUACAGUAGUUAAUCAUUUGCAUUUACAUUUGCAUCUAUAAGAGACUAUUGCAUGCUUUCAAAAGCGUUUAUCAUGUUUGUUUGAGAACGUCCAUAGGUCCAUAGUAAUGAUCACUUAUUCAUCGUUAACUCAAAAUCAAGGUCUUCUUUUGUUUUUAUCUGCAGUUAAAAUAAAGCAAUGAUGUAUGUCCAGUAUUGUGAUUCUGGCUGCAAUAAACAUCCAUUCAAAAAGGCAAA
Cyprinus carpio (common carp) is the source of this 868-nucleotide long non-coding RNA. RefSeq lists it as uncharacterized. The record is from RefSeq and is a predicted model, not a curated record. NCBI's taxonomy places the organism in Eukaryota, Metazoa, Chordata, Actinopteri, Cypriniformes, Cyprinidae.